GUUAAAGUAAACAGACGAACCAAAAUGGUAACAAAAUAGUUUUGAAUUUAAAUAUUAGUUGAACAGUUUGUUUUACCUUUACGAUUACCAGAAUCUGAAUUUGCAGGAGUGCGAUGGCGAAGCUGAACCAGAACAGCAUCUACAAUGGGAAUCAUUAAAGCUGUUGUUGCUGUAUUACUGAUCCACAUGGAAAGGAACAUUGUAUUCAACAUGAAGCCCAGGAGAAGCCAUUUAGCAGCCAUCAAGGAGGCAAUAAAUAUCAUUAAGGUUUGCUGGAAUGGUUACACAGUGGUUUAACAAUGGGAACGAGUGUAAAUAUGUUUUAGUGAUAAUUAAGUUCACUUGAUUUUACGAGUCUCUACAUUCAGAGAUUGGUGAAGUAUUGACAACUUACAUUCAUAAAAGCUUGGCAAGCUUGUUCUGUACUGAGUAUUCCGAAUAAUGGAAACAAAACCAAUGGCAUCAGUGCUGUUAUCGCCAACGGAAUGGCUUCUGUUAUCCAAUAAGCCCCCAUAACGAGCAAAACAAAAGCUCCUCGAUUAACCUGCAAGCCAAAAAUAAAACACCAAGCAAAUCAGUUCAUGAUUCUUCUGAAAUCUUAUUUAAUCUUGAAGCUUCAAUAUUCGUGCCGAUCUAACCAACAACACAAAUUCAACCUAAGCCACAACAUUACGGUAUUGCCUGUUAUCAAUGUGUAAUUGGAGACUACAAUUGUGUUGUUACUUUCAAUAUCAACUUUUUUCAUGUCAAAACAAUUCGUAAAAUAAUCUGUUUUGAAUUACUGGUAAACAAUCAAUCAUUACAUUAGCUAUUCAAGUCGCUCAGACAAUCAAAACGCUGAAAUAAUUGUAAAAAUCAAUCAUUACCUAGAACUCAACCUUUGUUUGAUGCUUAUUUUGAAUACUAUUCAAUUUUAAUCAUCUUUUAUUUGCUAUAAAUAAUGUCUAAAUUUGUAUUUACAUUUUACUCUUUGUUUAUUGUAAAACAUGCUUUAAUCAUAUUAAUUCUGAUCACGUUUACGAGCAAUUAUUUACUUGUUUAUAUUGAUUAAUUAACACAUUAUUUUGAUACAAAAAAAGCAAUGGAAAUGAAGAGAUGAAAAUUAAAAAAGAGAAAUUGUUUAAAAUAGAAAAGCAAAAAAGUAGUUUAAAAAUUCACUAAAUUCACAUCAUAUACAUAAUCAAGUGUGAAUCAUGGAAUGCAUUAAAAUGUAUUUCGAUAUUGAAUCAGUUUCAGGGACAAUCAGAGUUUCAAUCUUAUUAAAUGUUUACCAAACCAUUGUAUGAUAACAAUUUAAAUUUUAUGCCUUACUUUUGACAGGAAAAGUAUGUUUUUUCAAAUCCAUCAAAUUGUAAAGUGAUUUGAGGAAACACAAAAGAUAUGUAAAUAAAUUGUAAACCAAGUAAA
Tetranychus urticae (two-spotted spider mite) is the source of this 1407-nucleotide long non-coding RNA. RefSeq lists it as uncharacterized. NCBI's taxonomy places the organism in Eukaryota, Metazoa, Arthropoda, Arachnida, Trombidiformes, Tetranychidae. The record is from RefSeq and is a predicted model, not a curated record.